GUUAGGAAUCUUCGUCAAUGGGCGAAAGCCUGAACGAGCGAUACCGCUUGAAGGAUGAAGCCUUUCGGGGUGUAAACUUCUGAACUAGGGACGAUAAUGACGGUACCUAGGUAAUAGCACCGGCUAACUCCGUGCCAGCAGCCGCGGUAAUACGGAGGGUGCGAGCGUUACCCGGAUUUACUGGGUGUAAAGGGCGUGUAGGCGGUUUCUCAAGUCCGGUGCUAAAGACCGAAGCUCAACUUCGGGAGUGCGCUGGAUACUGUGAAGCUAGACGGUCGGAGAGGGUAGCGGAAUUCUCGGAGUAGCGGUGAAAUGCGCAGAUACCGAGAGGAACGCCAAUAGCGAAAGCAGCUACCUGGACGAUUUGUGACGCUGAGGCGCGAAAGCGUGGGGAGCAAACCGGAUUAGAAACCCUUGUAGUCC
This 423-nucleotide ribosomal RNA is filed under the name uncultured bacterium. Its description in RNAcentral is "bacterial SSU rRNA". It matches the Rfam family "Bacterial small subunit ribosomal RNA", at positions 354 to 796 of the family's 1533-position model. The record is from RNAcentral.